Molecule: non-coding RNA, 1093 nt
Organism: Gasterosteus aculeatus aculeatus (three-spined stickleback)
Lineage: Eukaryota; Metazoa; Chordata; Actinopteri; Perciformes; Gasterosteidae
Source: RefSeq, a predicted model, not a curated record
CUCCACUACAUCCUCCAGCAUCUGGACUCCAGAGGAACCUACGCUAGGAUCCUGUUUGUGGACUUCAGCUCUGCCUUCAACACCAUCCCUGUCCCCUCUUACAGGAUGUGGGUCUCGGAUGGAAUAAUUGUGGGGAUAAAGUGGCACUGGAGCUGGUCCGAGUUAUGCCUCUCUGUCAGAAGCUGAGGAGAAUAGAUCUGGAGUCAAACGCCAUCAGUGUCUCUGGAGCGGAGGCCUUGGUUAAAGCUCUACAGCCGUGUCCUGCUCUGCAGAUGAUCAGGUUGUGGAGGAACAACGUCUCCGCUAUUGAGGCCCAGACGCUCAGUCUGAAGGAAAGGAGACUGAACUUCUCCUCCACCUAACAUGCUUUGAAUGUUUCCCCUGAACUGCGACCACAUGGAAGUAUGAGGAAUGAUUUUAUAGCAAAUGAUUACGUCAUGAUCAUGUCACACGAUGUGUUUGAAUACCUUCAAUCGGUUGUGUAUGUGAGGACUGCAGCAGCAGGCGUGUGUAAUAGAAGGCUUAAAGACCACUGUGUGGUGAACCGCGAACGCUUUUGACAUUUUGCCUAAAUGUAAAUAAUGUUAAGAUGAAACAACACAAUUAUUUUUGGCCCGACCAUUCCAGUCUGUUUGCUGUGGGCUUUGUACACACUGCCCUCCUCUUUGUACACUAUGAACCUAAAGGGCCACGAUUCCAGUAACUUCCAUUUGAGAAAGCAGGUAUGCAGACUUUUCAUUAUUUUGCACCGUAAUGUGUUAACAAUAAUUAGAGGCCACAUAAGUGAAAACACAACAAAUCAUAAAAUUACAGUAAAUGUUCUCUAACCAUCAUUUUAGGUUGUGGUCUCUAUCCAAACUGCGUAUUUAUUUCUUCCGAUAUUUUGAUGAAUUAAUAAUUAGACGUUAUUUAAACUGACAGAACUGUUUUUACAAGGACACAGGAUUUGAAUGAGCAGGGGCCGAGAUGUGUUUGGGACUGUAGAUAAUCUUCUUUAGGGGGGUUUGGCUUUAAGGUUUCGGAGCAGCCUCGACCUCUAACAUGGCAAAUCUUGCUUGACAUUAAAUUAUUCAAAAAAUAAAGACUAAAUUGA